UUUAUAUUUUAUUUUUUAUCUUUAUCUCCAUGCGAAUGAACAGAGAAACUGAAAACUUCAAAACGCCUCUGGUCCGUUGUAGCCUACCAUCCUCAACACAGCGGAAGAGAGUUUUAGUCGACUUUGUAGAAGGUCGACUUCCCGUAGCCUAUAAUUUCCUGCUCUACUCAUUGUUGUAACAAUAUCGAGGGCUCCAAUGGGUCCACGCAACAACCGGCUUGCCACAACCCACAGAACCUUGUCAAGCAUCAAUGUGGGGGACCGUGGACAUUCUUGGGGUCCUUCCAUCUCAGCGGUCUCAUGGGCAAUAGCGUCAUCAGUGGCCGCAGCUUUCUUAGCGGUCUACGGGUACUGGGCGGUCUACGAGGUCGCAAAUGCCAUAUCGAGCUCAGUGGCCUCAGUGGCCUCAGCAGCUAAAGAUUUCUCAAAGGCCAUGUCGGACUCAGUGUCCUCAGCAGCAUCAGCGUUCUCAGAAUUCUCAUCAGCCAUAUCGAACUCAGUGGCCUCAGUAGCCUCAGCAGCCGCAGU
Sardina pilchardus (European sardine) is the source of this 528-nucleotide long non-coding RNA. RefSeq lists it as uncharacterized. The transcript is spliced from 3 exons. Lineage: Eukaryota; Metazoa; Chordata; Actinopteri; Clupeiformes; Clupeidae. The record is from RefSeq and is a predicted model, not a curated record.